AUACACACACACCGCCCCCCGAAGACAUUACAUGCCAUUCACACUCAUAAUUGACAUUUGACAGUGAUUAGUCAAUAACACAAGCUGAUCCAUUUCUUUCCUUCUGACCUUUAUUAUAUACAAAAAUAUGACUGAGGUUGUCAGCAAGGCUCUAUGCACACGAAUAAUUGCAGCAGAAAUACACGCAAUGUAAUACGCAGUGCAAUGAUCUGUGCAUAAGCGGUACUAGCCUGGUCCCAGGUCUGUACGCGCUUUAGCCAACUCAGCUUCCUUUGCCGUCCCAUACAUGUCAGCUACAGGUUUACCAUCACACUGAACACUACAGGAGUGUAAGAUAAAGCACAUACAGCUUUAUGGACAGGGGCCUAUUGGAAAUGGAACCCUGUAUAGUGCACCACCUUUAGUCAUAGGGAGCAAUUUCAGAGGCAGACCCAAGCUAAAGCAGUACAGACUCAUUAGAAAUUAUUCUCUACAUGCCUUCAACAAAAACACUGAUACAAUCCAAUAGAACCACUAUAAAGUUCAUGGCAAAAAAAAACAUCUACACAGAUGCUGUUACUGCUGAAUGAAAUGAUAUACAUGCCAUAAAAGAAAAGCCUUCCGCAUCAAAUAAAUAAACUAUUGUUACACAUUUAGGAUUUAAAUGAUUUGUCCAUAUCUGUUAGUGGUGGUGAGGGAUUAAGAUGGUGUCUUGCUCUGCUUGAGAUGGCACACCUCACUCACCGGUCUCUCUUCCAGUCCAGCCAAAAUGAAAGCAGCUACACACACAAACAUUUCAGUCAGCAAAAUAUCUAUUUACAUAAAUAUAGUACACACACACACACACAUGCAGCCUUCUUAUGUCUGCCUUCUCCUCCUCAAUGACGAUUCAACCAUAAAUUAAGACAUUCAAUAACACUCAUAACAUAUGCCUCAGUUGUCACUCCACUUUCUACUAGUCAUAAAAAUAAAGUACCUAAUAUAGACAUUAUAUAUAAAUAUACACACAACAUUAACAAACACUCUGGUUUCACACAGAAAGCUUGUUUUAAAUUUAAGUUCGCAUCUACAACAGCAGGGAUUUUCAAGUGUCUGAUUCCCCAUUUAGUGUUUUCUAUAAGUAUGACAGAGACACUCUCUGGAGUCCAAGGCACUUCAGGCUGUAUCUGAACACACAAUCAAUUCCAAACCAUUAUUUUGUAACCUCUAUGUCUUCACUACAAGGACUGCACUUCUACCCACUGAUAGAGGGUAAGAGGUCAUUCUGUGGUCCAUAGCUUUGGUCCUUUAAGUCCUUUUUUUAAGUGUUAUUAUUUAUUGCUUUUGUGCUUAGCUGUUCGCUGUAGUUGUCCUUCCUGUUGUAGUUUGGAGGCUGUGUAGUAGUCAUUUCAGUUGUCGUUGUUUGUUAUCAUUUCUGUUGUCGUUGUUUGUUAUCAUUUCUGUUGUAAUGGUUGUUUUGCAGCUAUAAUUUAUUUUUAUGUAGUUGUGUAGUCCUACAGAAGCCUCUGGUUGAGAAUCUCCCAGAUCAUCAGUUUCCUGAACAGGGGCAUGUGGCACUGAGGAGAGUGAGAGACAGUGUGUGAGUGAAAAAGAGAUUGUACGAGUGUACACCGAGUGAGUAUGAUAGCCUGCGACUGCCUAUGUACCUGUCGGAAGGUGAGAGGCCACCCCUGGGCGAUGUAGUCAGCAUAUUUACAGGCAAACACUCCACAGUCACUGCCAUUCUUCUGCUGAGGGAUCUCCUACACACACACACACACACACACACACACACACACACACACGAAGGAUCCUGGUGAAAAGCAAAUCACUAGAGAACGGAUGCUAUUUCUGACAGCCCUAGACGCACUCUGUAUACAUUCAAGACAAAAUAAGAACAACAAAGAUGAUUAGAUAUGCAUUUCUGUCUGGGUAAUUUACACUGGCCCUCAAGCUGCCCACUGUCCACUUGCACUCGUCCAGAUCCUGGUCCUUCCUGGCCUUGUGCUCCUCUCUUAGGUACAGCCUGAAUAGGGUUGGACGAACCAAAUACAUGUAACAGGAUUACAGAAUGAAAUGACAAAAAAAGAUGGGCAUCAGAUUACAGGUACUUUUGUCAAACCAAAUGAUUACUGGAAGGGGACUGAGGACUCACAGUAAGAGGCUGCAGAUGUCGUCAUGUCUCUGUCCCAUAGAGUCAUAGGACCUCACGGUCCUGGAGUUAAAGUUUAUCACCUAGAGGGGGAAAGGGAAAUAAACAAAGUCCACAGGUAUCUACAAAUGACCACAGAGAAGGACCAGUGGACUUUCUAAAGCAGUGGUCACCAACCUUUUUUGAAUCACGAUCACUUUGAGUCAAAAUGCAAGCCAAGAUCUACCGCUCAGAUAUAUUUAUUUUUAACAUGACUUAAAAAAAAUGUAAGCCUAUGCAACAUUAACCAAUUAAAAACAAUUAUGUACCAAUGAGGGUUGUGCUAUAGUAGGCUAUAGGCCCAACACACCAUCACUGCAUAUUGGCUAUGCUUGAAUUGCUCUGCCAAUGUUCUUCAGACAUUUCAAACGUUUGUUUCAAAACAAGCGGAUCUACUCACGACCGGUCAUGCUGUAAACACAGUCCAGUUCAAAGUGAAUGGCACAGAUCCAUAUAUGGCAAUGGUCCAUUUGCAAAUAGGCCUGCUGCAUUGCUGAUUGGUUAUGCCGCACCAGUCUGUGUAGAGUAUGGGCUGAGUCGUGCGUGUCAAUGCAAUAGAAUCCUACUAUGACGCGUUCUGCCUACAACAAAAUCACUUGCAUAGUUAGUUUAGCAUAGUAAUAAGUCUUACAUAGUUCAUUGUGUGUUUCGGUGUGUUGCAUUGAAAGUGGCUAGUAUAGCAUUGAUUCAAUCACAAUUCCCACAGUAAAGGGAAACGUUGAUAGUGUAAACUCUAGAAAGUUGAGUGAAGUUCAAUCUCGUGCUUCUCUGCGCUGGCUGAUAUUUCAGCGUGCAGCUUAGAGGGAACAUUGCCUAUAGGGGUGCACUUGAUUUGCUCUAUGGGCCUACCCGGUAAGCAGAGAUCUACAUUCAAACACAUUAAAUGGUUCAAAAUGUGAACACAGCCUUGCCAGCACUAGGGCUGCCGAAUCAAGAGAGAAAUGUUUGGUGAUCGACUAGGAAUGCCUUGGUGAUCGACCAGUCGGCAGUGAUCGACCGGUUGGUGACCACUGUUCUAAAGUGAAUGAAGCCCCGUCAAUCUGGGGAGAUUUACAGCCAGUGACCAGUGGACUCCCAGGUGCAGCGGAACGAGGAUGAUGUCAUACUGGAAGAGGUCCACAGCUUUGGUCCAUCGCUUCACGGCGGCGUGCCCCCCUCCAUGUAGUUUGGGGAAGAAGAAAGUACUGAAGGAGUAGACCUUCAGCCCUUGCCCUGCACUACUGCUACGAGUCAUCACUAGGGACAGGUAGAAUCUUGCUGCUACCUCUGCAGAGAGAUCCAGCUCUGGCUGCUUCUGCUGGAGGGAGAGAGACUUUAUAACAACCUUAUAAUGCUUCAUAGCAGCCUUAUGACUCUUCCUAGCACCCUUACUACAGUUCAUAAGUGUGUCUCCUACCGUUGCAUUGCUGGCAGGUUGUGUGUCCACAGCUGCGCUGAGAGGCUUACUGAGACACAACUCUCCUCUCAUGUCUCUGGUUUGUUUGGCUGAGGAUGUAUCUCUCCACAUAUACACACUGGGGU
RNAcentral lists this long non-coding RNA (3670 nucleotides) under Salmo salar (Atlantic salmon). RNAcentral's name for it is "lncRNA (ENSSSAG00000083229.1)". The record is from RNAcentral. Lineage: Eukaryota; Metazoa; Chordata; Actinopteri; Salmoniformes; Salmonidae.